UACGUAGGGCGCAAGCGUUGUCCGGAAUUAUUGGGCGUAAAGAGCUCGUAGGCGGUGUGUCGCGUCGGUCGUGAAAACUUGGGGCUUAACCCUGAGCUUGCGGUCGAUACGGGCAUCACUGGAGUUCGGCAGGGGAGACUGGAAUUCCCGGUGUAGUGGUGAAAUGCGUAGAUAUCGGGAGGAACACCAGUGGCGAAGGCGGCUUCCUGGCCUGUUCUUGACGCUGAGGCGCGAAAGCUAGGGGAGCAAACGGG
RNAcentral lists this ribosomal RNA (254 nucleotides) under uncultured bacterium. Its description in RNAcentral is "partial 16S ribosomal RNA". It matches the Rfam family "Bacterial small subunit ribosomal RNA", at positions 524 to 776 of the family's 1533-position model. The record is from RNAcentral.